RNAcentral lists this ribosomal RNA (253 nucleotides) under uncultured bacterium. RNAcentral's name for it is "partial 16S ribosomal RNA". It matches the Rfam family "Bacterial small subunit ribosomal RNA", at positions 524 to 776 of the family's 1533-position model. The record is from RNAcentral.
UACGUAGGCAGCGAGCGUUGUUCGGAAUUACUGGGUUUAAAGGGUGCGUAGGUGGGUAGGUAAGUCAGUGGUGAAAUCUUCAAGCUUAACUUGGAAACUGCCAUUGAUACUAUUUAUCUUGAAUACUUUGGAGGUAAGCGGAAUAUGUCAUGUAGCGGUGAAAUGCUUAGAUAUGACAUAGAACACCAAUUGCGAAGGCAGCUUACUACACAGUAAUUGACACUGAGGCACGAAAGCGUGGGGAUCAAACAGG